Molecule: ribosomal RNA, 836 nt
Filed under: uncultured bacterium
Lineage: Bacteria
Description: bacterial SSU rRNA
Rfam family: Bacterial small subunit ribosomal RNA
Source: RNAcentral
CAUGCAAGUCGAGCGAGAACCAGGGCUUCGGCCCUGGGGACAGCGGCGAACGGGUGAGUAACACGUGGAUAACCUGCCCUCGGCACCGGAAUAGCCCGGGGAAACCCGGAUUAAUGCCGGAUAGCCCCACAUCCCUGCGGGGAACGUGGGAAAAGGUAGCUUUGGCCUCCGGCCGAGGAUGAGCCCGCGGCCGAUUAGCUUGUUGGUGAGGUAACGGCUCACCAAGGCGACGAUCGGUAGCUGGUCUGAGAGGACGAUCAGCCACACUGGGACUGAGACACGGCCCAGACUCCUACGGGAGGCAGCAGUGGGGAAUCUUGCGCAAUGGGCGAAAGCCUGACGCAGCGACGCCGCGUGCGGGAAGAAGGCCUUCGGGUUGUAAACCGCUUUCAGGAGGGACGAAGCCACUCAGGUUAAUAGCCGAGAGGGUGACGGUACCUCCAGAAGAAGCCCCGGCUAACUACGUGCCAGCAGCCGCGGUAAUACGUAGGGGGCUAGCGUUGUCCGGAUUUAUUGGGCGUAAAGAGCGUGUAGGCGGCCAUGUAGGUCCGGUGUGAAAACUCGAGGCUUAACCUCGAGAUGUCAUCGGAAACCAUUUGGCUAGAGUCCGGAAGAGGAGAGUGGAAUUCCUGGUGUAGCGGUGAAAUGCGCAGAUAUCAGGAAGAACACCAAUGGCGAAAGCAGCUCUCUGGGACGGUACUGACGCUGAGACGCGAAAGCGUGGGGAGCGAACAGGAUUAGAUACCCUGGUAGUCCACGCCGUAAACGAUGGGCGCUAGGUGUGGGCGGUGUCGACUCCGUCCGUGCCGAAGCUAACGCAUUAAGCGCCCCGCCUG